Molecule: ribosomal RNA, 250 nt
Filed under: uncultured Staphylococcus sp.
Lineage: Bacteria; Bacillati; Bacillota; Bacilli; Caryophanales; Staphylococcaceae
Description: partial 16S ribosomal RNA
Rfam family: Bacterial small subunit ribosomal RNA
Source: RNAcentral
CGUUAGCGGCGGACGGGUGAGUAACACGUGGAUAACCUACCUAUAAGACUGGGAUAACUUCGGGAAACCGGAGCUAAUACCGGAUAAUAUAUUGAACCGCAUGGUUCAAUAGUGAAAGACGGUUUUGCUGUCACUUAUAGAUGGAUCCGCGCCGCAUUAGCUAGUUGGUAAGGUAACGGCUUACCAAGGCAACGACGCGUAGCCGACCUGAGAGGGUGAUCGGCCACACUGGAACUGAGACACGGUCCAG